AUUAUUUCUGGUGCAUACUGAACAUAUGUUAAUAAUAUCACCAUAAUUUUAUUUUUGAGAUAAAUGCUUCACGUUUAUAUAAGCUCAAGACGCAAGAAGGCUCUGAAGUCGAGACGCACGCCUUAACAGAGCCUAUUUUUGUAAGCAGUGAAGACAGACUGUUGAAUUAAAGUUGGGCAUUUUAAAUCGUUUCUGCUCUUUUCACUUCACGCUUUUCCUUCCCCGUGGUCAUGGCGACCAUGGAUUGAAACUUUAGCCCGAUUCAUGGUAAAAGACAGACCCGUGUGUUUAAGUACGUAAACCAGCAUUUGAUAGAUGUGGACAGUAACGAGGAACACCUGACAACAUGUGGUUGAGCUUUCCAGGUGUUUUCCGAGAGAGCGGAACCUUUGUGACUUCUCAGAGUGCAAUAUCCCCAACACUCAUCGCAGCAGGGAAAGUGGAGAGAGGAGACAGGCUAGCCCGCAGAGCUUGCAAUGAACCUGUACUUGUUCCAUUGCAGACUAAAACCUUGCCUGGCUUCACAAGAAGUGUCCAUUGAAAUAUUUAUGCCGACUAGGUCUGUGAUUUUCACAGUACAGCUGUAUAAUAAAAACAUAGAAAGAUGGGGGACUGUCCGUGGGGUUAAGAGGUAACCGACCUGGGUCCAAUUGAUCCAGACCUCUGCUUCCCGACUGCAGCAAAAGGAAGGAGAGGACAUCUGUGGGGGCUUCCUGCUGGAUAAUGUGGGAUGCUUCCUGUCCUAUCACAGGAACAGGAAGUUAAUAAUUGAGUGGGGGAAAAAAAACUCAAAAUGAAUUUUUCAUCCACUCCUUUAUUUCCCUCCCGUUUUCUCUCCCUCCCCCCUAAAACAUUCUUGGUUUUGAAAUCCAAAUAAAAAUAGACAGCUUUUUGCAUUUGUUUUUUUUUUUCAUUUCCGAGGGCACACAUUUGAAUUUAGGUCAAGGCUUGGAGAAGCCAGAAAGAAAAGGGAAAGAGGCUUCUGCAGUGGAG
Molecule: long non-coding RNA, 993 nt
Organism: Lepisosteus oculatus (spotted gar)
Lineage: Eukaryota; Metazoa; Chordata; Actinopteri; Semionotiformes; Lepisosteidae
Source: RefSeq, a predicted model, not a curated record